ACAGAGGUCCCGAGCGUUGUUCGGAUUCACUGGGCGUAAAGGGUGCGUAGGCGGCUUUGAAAGUCUGAUGUGAAAUCUCCGGGCCCAACCCGGAAACUGCAUUAGAAACUGCAGGGCUAGAGUCUGUCAGAGGGGGAUGGAAUUCCACGUGUAGCAGUGAAAUGCGUAGAGAUGUGGAGGAACACCGAUGGCGAAGGCAGUCCCCUGGGAUAAGACUGACGCUCAUGCACGAAAGCGUGGGGAGCAAACAGGA
This 253-nucleotide ribosomal RNA is filed under the name uncultured prokaryote. RNAcentral's name for it is "partial 16S ribosomal RNA". It matches the Rfam family "Bacterial small subunit ribosomal RNA", at positions 525 to 777 of the family's 1533-position model. The record is from RNAcentral.